CUCUGGAAGAGUUCAAUCAAACUUCAUUAGCAAUAAAUCAAACAGCUCAGAUUAACUGUGCAGCUCUUUUUUAAAUUUUUUAUUUGCUUUAUUUCCUCAUUUAUAUAUUUUUAGUCACUGAGAGAAAAUAAAAACUGUCAAGUCUCAAAAUUUUUAUAUAUAAAUUAAUAUUUGGAGGAAGAAGCAGUGAAGAGUUUAGACUGAAAGCUGCUCUCAUCUCAGUUUGUACAUCCUUGAUGCCUUUCCUUGUCUUCUCCUCAUGUCUUAGUCCCUCCCACCUGAUAUGUGAGCGGAGGAGGCAGGAAGAGUAAAGAGGAGGGAGGAGUCAUGGCAACAGGUGUUUAACAAAAUGAGACGUCCAUGUUUCAGAGAUGUUGGUUAAACAUGAAGCAACACAGCUGAGUGUCAAAGACGUGUGUGUGUGUGUGUGUGUGUGUGUGUGUGUGUGUCCUCGCUCCUCUGAUCAGCCUCCUCUCCGCCAGGUGCAGUUUAACAAUUGAGACAUCAUUCAAGAUGGCGAUGGAUCAGGUGAGGAACAAAUGAGGAUCAGGUGAGGAACAGGUGAGGAACAGGCGAGGAUCAGGUGAGGAACAGUGAGGAUCAGGUGAGGAUCAGGUGAGGAACAGGCGAGGAACAGGCGAGGAACAGGUGAGGAACAGGUGAGGAUCAGGUGAGGAACAGGUGAGGAUCAGGUGAGGAACAGGUAAGGGACAGUGAGGAUCAGGCGAGGAACAGGUGAGGAACAGGUAAGGGACAGUGAGGAUCAGGUGAGGAACAGGUAAGGGACAGUGAGGAUCAGGUGAGGAACAGGUGAGGAUCAGGUGAGGAUCAGGCGAGGAACAGGUGAGGAACAGGUAAGGGACAGUGAGGAUCAGGUGAGGAACAGGUGAGGAACAGGUGAGGAUCAGGUGAGGAACAGUGAGGAUCAGGUGAGGAACAGGUGAGGAACAGGUGAGGAACAGGUGAGGAACAGGUGAGGAACAGGUGAGGAACAGGCGAGGAACAGGUGAGGUUUAUUUGAGGUUGUGUGUUUGUACCUUUGAUGUAGAGGCGGAAGGUGGCGUCCUUCAUACAGCCCAGACCCAUCAUCAGUUCAUCAUCAGAGGAGAAC
Long non-coding RNA from Epinephelus moara (kelp grouper), 1111 nucleotides. RefSeq lists it as uncharacterized. Lineage: Eukaryota; Metazoa; Chordata; Actinopteri; Perciformes; Serranidae. The transcript has 3 exons. The record is from RefSeq and is a predicted model, not a curated record.